AGUGGCGAAAGGGUGAGUAACACUUGGGUAACUUGCCCUCGAGAUUGGAAUAACCUGCCGAAAGGCGGGCUAAUACCGAAUAAGACUACAGUAAUCAAGGUUACGGUGGUAAAAGAUGGCCUCUACAUGUAAGCUGUCACUUGAGGAUGGGCCCGAGUCCUAUUAGCUUGUUGGUGGGGUAAAAGCCUACCAAGGCAAUGAUGGGUAGCUGGUCUGAGAGGAUGGUCAGCCACACUGGGACUGAGACACUGCCCAGACUCCUACGGGAGGCUGCAGUCGAGAAUCUUUCGCAAUGGGGGAAACCCUGACGAAGCGACGCCUCGUGGACGAUGAAGGUAUUCGGAUCGUAAAGUCCUGUCACAGGGGACGAAAAUCUUAGGGUUAAUAACCUUAAGACUUGACGGUACCCUGAGAGGAAGCCCCGGCUAACUCCGUGCCAGCAGCCGCGGUAAUACGGAGGGGGCAAGCGUUGUUCGGAUUUAUUGGGCGUAAAGAGUCUGUAGGCGGCAUAGUAAGUCAGAUGUGAAAUCUCUGGGCUUAACCCAGAAACUGCAUUUGAAACUGCUAAGCUAGAGUACCAAAGAGGCACAUGGAAUUCUCGGUGUAAGAGUGAAAUCUGCAGAUAUCGAGAAGAACACCAGUGGCGAAGGCGAUGUGCUGGGUGGAUACUGACGCUGAGAGACGAAAGCUAGGGGAGCGAACGGGAUUAGAUACCCCGGUAGUCCUAGCCGUAAACGAUGGACACUAGGUGUUGGGAGGGUUACCUCUCGGUGCCGCAGUUAACGCAUUAA
RNAcentral lists this ribosomal RNA (791 nucleotides) under uncultured bacterium. Its description in RNAcentral is "bacterial SSU rRNA". It matches the Rfam family "Bacterial small subunit ribosomal RNA", at positions 94 to 863 of the family's 1533-position model. The record is from RNAcentral.